GAUGAAGAACGCAGCGAAAUGCGAUAAGUAAUGUGAAUUGCAGAAUUCAGUGAAUCAUCGAAUCUUUGAACGCAUCUUGCGCUCCUUGGUAUUCUGAGGAGCAUGCCUGUUUGAGUGUCAUUAAAUUCUCAACUACACUGACUUUGAAUUGGUGUGGCUUGGAUUUGGGGGGAAAAUUGUUGUGAGCUUUUUGUAUAGUCUGCUCCCCUGAAAUUGAUUAGCGGUACCUUUGUGGAACUGUCUACAGGUGUGAUAAUUAUCUACAUCUUAGACAUCUGCUGGAAUGCUGCUUUCUAAACCUUACUUGUAUUGACAAUCUUGACCUCAAAUCAGGUAGGACUACCCGCUGAACUUAAGCAUAUCAAUAAGCGGAGGA
Molecule: unclassified non-coding RNA, 376 nt
Filed under: soil metagenome
Description: partial contains 5.8S ribosomal RNA, internal transcribed spacer 2, and large subunit ribosomal RNA
Rfam family: 5.8S ribosomal RNA (bases 1-120)
Source: RNAcentral